RNAcentral lists this microRNA precursor (103 nucleotides) under Marmota monax (woodchuck). The record is from RNAcentral. Lineage: Eukaryota; Metazoa; Chordata; Mammalia; Rodentia; Sciuridae.
AAAAGAAUUGCUGGAUCUAUCAUGGUAAGUCUGUUUAAGUUUUUGAAAAACAACAAUGCUAUUUUCCACAAUAGUUACAUCAUUUUAUACUCCCACCAGCAAU